AUAUAUAUAUACACACACACACACACACACACAUACAUAUAUGUGUAUAUAUAUAUAUGUGUGUGUGUGUGUGUAUAU
RNAcentral lists this microRNA precursor (78 nucleotides) under Podarcis lilfordi (Lilford's wall lizard). The record is from RNAcentral. Lineage: Eukaryota; Metazoa; Chordata; Lepidosauria; Squamata; Lacertidae.